RNAcentral lists this ribosomal RNA (1490 nucleotides) under uncultured bacterium. RNAcentral describes it as "16S ribosomal RNA". It matches the Rfam family "Bacterial small subunit ribosomal RNA". The record is from RNAcentral.
AGAGUUUGAUCCUGGCUCAGAUUGAACGCUGGCGGCAUGCUUUACACAUGCAAGUCGAACGGCAGCGCGGGGCAACCUGGCGGCGAGUGGCGAACGGGUGAGUAAUAUAUCGGAACGUACCCAAGAGUGGGGGAUAACGUAGCGAAAGUUACGCUAAUACCGCAUACGAUCCAAGGAUGAAAGCAGGGGACCGCAAGGCCUUGUGCUCCUGGAGCGGCCGAUAUCUGAUUAGCUAGUUGGUGAGGUAAAGGCUCACCAAGGCGACGAUCAGUAGCUGGUCUGAGAGGACGACCAGCCACACUGGAACUGAGACACGGUCCAGACUCCUACGGGAGGCAGCAGUGGGGAAUUUUGGACAAUGGGCGCAAGCCUGAUCCAGCAAUGCCGCGUGAGUGAAGAAGGCCUUCGGGUUGUAAAGCUCUUUUGUCAGGGAAGAAACGGUGAGGGCUAAUAUCCCUUGCUAAUGACGGUACCUGAAGAAUAAGCACCGGCUAACUACGUGCCAGCAGCCGCGGUAAUACGUAGGGUGCAAGCGUUAAUCGGAAUUACUGGGCGUAAAGCGUGCGCAGGCGGUUUUGUAAGUCUGAUGUGAAAUCCCCGGGCUCAACCUGGGAAUUGCAUUGGAGACUGCAAGGCUAGAAUCUGGCAGAGGGGGGUAGAAUUCCACGUGUAGCAGUGAAAUGCGUAGAGAUGUGGAGGAACACCGAUGGCGAAGGCAGCCCCCUGGGUCAAGAUUGACGCUCAUGCACGAAAGCGUGGGGAGCAAACAGGAUUAGAUACCCUGGUAGUCCACGCCCUAAACGAUGUCUACUAGUUGUCGGGUUUUAAUUAACUUGGUAACGCAGCUAACGCGUGAAGUAGACCGCCUGGGGAGUACGGUCGCAAGAUUAAAACUCAAAGGAAUUGACGGGGACCCGCACAAGCGGUGGAUGAUGUGGAUUAAUUCGAUGCAACGCGAAAAACCUUACCUACCCUUGACAUGGCAGGAAUCCCGGAGAGAUCUGGGAGUGCUCGAAAGAGAACCUGCACACAGGUGCUGCAUGGCUGUCGUCAGCUCGUGUCGUGAGAUGUUGGGUUAAGUCCCGCAACGAGCGCAACCCUUGUCAUUAGUUGCUACGAAAGAGCACUCUAAUGAGACUGCCGGUGACAAACCGGAGGAAGGUGGGGAUGACGUCAAGUCCUCAUGGCCCUUAUGGGUAGGGCUUCACACGUCAUACAAUGGUACAUACAGAGGGCCGCCAACCCGCGAGGGGGAGCUAAUCCCAGAAAGUGUAUCGUAGUCCGGAUUGUAGUCUGCAACUCGACUACAUGAAGUUGGAAUCGCUAGUAAUCGCGGAUCAGCAUGUCGCGGUGAAUACGUUCCCGGGUCUUGUACACACCGCCCGUCACACCAUGGGAGCGGGUUUUACCAGAAGUAGGUAGCUUAACCGCAAGGAGGGCGCUUACCACGGUAGGAUUCGUGACUGGGGUGAAGUCGUAACAAGGUAACC